Molecule: ribosomal RNA, 143 nt
Filed under: uncultured eukaryote
Lineage: Eukaryota
Description: partial 18S ribosomal RNA
Rfam family: Eukaryotic small subunit ribosomal RNA
Source: RNAcentral
UGGUGGAGUGAUUUGUCUGGUUAAUUCCAUUAACGAACGAGACCCCUGCCUGCUAAAUAGCCCAGAGAGUGAGUUUUCACUGACUGUUGGCUUCUUAGAGGGACGUGCAUUCUAUUAGAUGCAGGAAGAUAGGGGCAAUAACA